RNAcentral lists this ribosomal RNA (253 nucleotides) under uncultured bacterium. RNAcentral describes it as "partial 16S ribosomal RNA". It matches the Rfam family "Bacterial small subunit ribosomal RNA", at positions 524 to 776 of the family's 1533-position model. The record is from RNAcentral.
UACAGAGGUCUCAAGCGUUGUUCGGAUUCAUUGGGCGUAAAGGGUGUGUAGGUGGCGCGCUAAGUCGGGUGUGAAAUUUCGGAGCUUAACUCCGAAACUGCAUUCGAUACUGGCGUUCUUGAGGACUGGAGAGGAGACUGGAAUUCAUGGUGUAGCAGUGAAAUGCGUAGAGAUCAUGAGGAAGACCAGUGGCGAAGGCGGGUCUCUGGACAGUUCCUGACACUGAGACACGAAGGCCAGGGGAGCAAACGGG